This 947-nucleotide ribosomal RNA is filed under the name Escherichia coli. RNAcentral's name for it is "partial 23S ribosomal RNA". It matches the Rfam family "Bacterial large subunit ribosomal RNA", at positions 296 to 1252 of the family's 2925-position model. Lineage: Bacteria; Pseudomonadati; Pseudomonadota; Gammaproteobacteria; Enterobacterales; Enterobacteriaceae. The record is from RNAcentral.
AGCCCAGAGCCUGAAUCAGUGUGUGUGUUAGUGGAAGCGUCUGGAAAGGCGCGCGAUACAGGGUGACAGCCCCGUACACAAAAAUGCACAUGCUGUGAGCUCGAUGAGUAGGGCGGGACACGUGGUAUCCUGUCUGAAUAUGGGGGGACCAUCCUCCAAGGCUAAAUACUCCUGACUGACCGAUAGUGAACCAGUACCGUGAGGGAAAGGCGAAAAGAACCCCGGCGAGGGGAGUGAAAAAGAACCUGAAACCGUGUACGUACAAGCAGUGGGAGCACGCUUAGGCGUGUGACUGCGUACCUUUUGUAUAAUGGGUCAGCGACUUAUAUUCUGUAGCAAGGUUAACCGAAUAGGGGAGCCGAAGGGAAACCGAGUCUUAACUGGGCGUUAAGUUGCAGGGUAUAGACCCGAAACCCGGUGAUCUAGCCAUGGGCAGGUUGAAGGUUGGGUAACACUAACUGGAGGACCGAACCGACUAAUGUUGAAAAAUUAGCGGAUGACUUGUGGCUGGGGGUGAAAGGCCAAUCAAACCGGGAGAUAGCUGGUUCUCCCCGAAAGCUAUUUAGGUAGCGCCUCGUGAAUUCAUCUCCGGGGGUAGAGCACUGUUUCGGCAAGGGGGUCAUCCCGACUUACCAACCCGAUGCAAACUGCGAAUACCGGAGAAUGUUAUCACGGGAGACACACGGCGGGUGCUAACGUCCGUCGUGAAGAGGGAAACAACCCAGACCGCCAGCUAAGGUCCCAAAGUCAUGGUUAAGUGGGAAACGAUGUGGGAAGGCCCAGACAGCCAGGAUGUUGGCUUAGAAGCAGCCAUCAUUUAAAGAAAGCGUAAUAGCUCACUGGUCGAGUCGGCCUGCGCGGAAGAUGUAACGGGGCUAAACCAUGCACCGAAGCUGCGGCAGCGACGCUGAUGCGUUGUUGGGUAGGGGAGCGUUCUGUAAGCCUGC